Molecule: ribosomal RNA, 397 nt
Filed under: uncultured bacterium
Lineage: Bacteria
Description: bacterial SSU rRNA
Rfam family: Bacterial small subunit ribosomal RNA
Source: RNAcentral
GAGCGCCGUAGCAAUACGGAGCGGCAGACGGGAGAGUAACACGUGGGAACAUGCCCUUCGGUUCGGAAUAACUCAGGGAAACUUGAGCUAAUACCGGAUACGUCCGUAAGGAGAAAGAUUUAUCGCCGAAGGAUUGGCCCGCGUCCGAUUAGCUAGUUGGUGGGGUAAUGGCCCACCAAGGCGACGAUCGGUGGCUGGUCUGAGAGGAUGAUCAGCCUCACUGGGACUGAGACACGGCCCAGACUCCUACGGGAGGCAGCAGUGGGGAAUAUUGGACAAUGGGCGCAAGCCUGAUCCAGCCAUGCCGCGUGAGUGACGAAGGCCUUAGGGUUGUAAAGCUCUUUUGCUCGGGAAGAUAAUGACGGUACCGAGAGAAUAAGCCCCGGCUAACUUCGUG